Molecule: long non-coding RNA, 2036 nt
Filed under: Prunus persica (peach)
Lineage: Eukaryota; Viridiplantae; Streptophyta; Magnoliopsida; Rosales; Rosaceae
Description: long non-coding RNA (PPER_LNC003067)
Source: RNAcentral
GGAGGCUAUUUUCAUAUUCUUCUUCCUAGGGUUCUUCUCUGCUAUAUUAUCCAAGGUUAUUCUCUUCAUUCUUCUCUAGGUAUCCAUCUCUCUCUCUCUCUCUCUCUCUCUCUCUCUCUCAUACUCUCUCCAAUAUGCUUCUUUUCUCUUCUUCUUUCUUCAUCUUCUCUUUCUUUAUAUAUUUUCUCUUUCAUUAAAUAUUUGUGGAAAUUAGGUUAUGAGUUUUUCCUUUUUGACUUUUUUUCCUUGCUGUAUUGGAACAAUACAUGUGGCUGUGUAUCCAACUCAAUAAUCAAAUAAUUAAAUAAUCAUCAUGCGGCUGUGUAUCCAACUCAAUACAUGCUGCUGAGUUUUUCUUGCGUUUUGUUCUUUAUGUAUUUCAUAUUCUCCAGGUAUCAAACUCAAUAAUCAAAUUAUCAUCCAACUCAAUACAUGCUGCUAUGUUUUUCUUGUUGUAUUUUUUUUCUUCUAUUUUUGGUGCUUUGUUGGUUUAUUUUCUGAUUAUUUCCAUGUUGGUACUACUGGCUGUUGAUUCUCUUCUUGACUGCUUUUGUUGGGCUUCAAUAUAUUCUUUUCUUUUCUUAAUUAUAUAUAUGUGUGUGUGUGUGCAAAUUAUAUUGUCUAUAUUUCCAUUUGAAUUAUCAAAGAAUUUUUUGUAAAAAAAUAGUCUGAUUCGAUGUUAUCCGGAACAGCAACUGACGAGCCCUCAGGGUGCUAAUAUAUAAAGGGUGGAAGAGUUUGGUGAAACAUUGAUAAUACCGAACUAUACCUUUUGUGAUAUAGAAAAAAUGAACAACACAACCCUAAAAAGGGAUUCUUGUAAACAAUAAACCACAACUAUUGCAAACAAGCAAAAUUAUGCAUUGGCGUUAGCAAAACUAAUGCAAUUUAAUCGCGUGUCUUUUGAAAUUGACUCUAAGGUUUUGUGUGAUGGGAUCAAAGGGGCUGUUGGCAAUAGAAUCUGGACAAUCUAUCCCCUCAUUCAGGAGAUUAGGAAGGUCUCGUACGUCUUCCCUCAUAUCGAAUGGUACAGGAUCCCCCAUAAAAGAAAUUGAGCUGCCCACGUCGCAACAUUGAUAGGUGUAAGAGCAGUGGAAUUGGAAAGUUGGGUCAAUCGACCACCUCCGUCUUUAAUGCAUGUACUUGUUUCUGAUGGGCUCCCUUGUCCCCGUAUUAAUUAGUUCAAUUUUAUAUGGGUUAGGAGCUUUGUUCUAGGCUUGCGUUGAGUCCUAACUGUUUCUUGAUCCAACUCUGUUUGUAUUCCUUUACUUUUGUCUCUGUUUUGCUCCUUCUCGUUUGGAUUGUUCAAUGACAUCAGAUUUGGACAAAAAAAAGAGCAAAAUGAAUUUCACACUGUGCAAAGAGCAUCCAUAAAAUCACUGCAUCCAAUACUGCAAGAACAUCAUGUGAGAGAUACUGGGCUCCCGUUGCAGGAUCUUAAACCUCAUUUGUAUAAAAUCAGAUACCUUUUAUUUUUUAUUUUUUUAUUAGACAAAAACAAGAUACCUUUUAUUUUUUGUUUGUUUCAAAGACUCCUAAUAUUUAAUCAUCGACAUAAUCAAUUAUACACUCUGGCAAGAAAGAAUAUUUGUUAUGAAUCACAUGGAAAUAGUGCUCCACAAAUUGGGCCCGUGAACCUCUUCUAGUCUAAAACGUAAUUGAUAUAGGAGCAUGUGAAUUCAUGCCACAAAUUUGGAUGCAAACAAAACACAAUUGUUUACUAUUAAAUUAGCAUUUUGAGAGACUAAUUUGUAAUUUGUUGGCUUCAGUUUUGAUCCAACAAAAAGAACAAAGCCAUUUUAUUCCUCUUCUUUUUAUUGGGCAGAUUGGAGGACAGUCAAAGACAAAUCUCUCAAUUAAAGGCACCUAGCCGACCGACCAAAGCUGCACUGGGGAUUUUUUGGUGUUUUGAACACUAUGAUUUGCCUUUAUGAGGUCAGUUUACUGUUUUAUUAUUACAAGGCUAAAGUAGAAGUCAAGGUACAGAUUGACUUUAAACUGGCAUGCUAAACUUUGCAAUGGAAUAGUCCAGUAUG